UACAGAGGUCUCAAGCGUUGUUCGGAUUCAUUGGGCGUAAAGGGUGCGUAGGCGGCGCGGUAAGUCGGGUGUGAAAUCUCGGAGCUUAACUCCGAAACUGCAUUCGAUACUGCCGUGCUUGAGGACUGGAGAGGAGACUGGAAUUUACGGUGUAGCGGUGAAAUGCGUAGAUAUCAGGAGGAAUACCGGUGGCGAAAGCGACUCUCUGGACGGCAACUGACGCUGAGGCACGAAAGCGUGGGGAGCAAACAGG
Molecule: ribosomal RNA, 253 nt
Filed under: uncultured bacterium
Lineage: Bacteria
Description: partial 16S ribosomal RNA
Rfam family: Bacterial small subunit ribosomal RNA
Source: RNAcentral